AGUCAUUUCCACGCAUCCGACAAGCAUACCCAUGUGAAAAAUACUUAUUCGAAUUCAAGGACUGUAGAUCACUUUUUAAUUUUAAACAAGAGGCUGUCACAACGACAGCAAACCGGAUUUAUUAACAUUUAUUUGUGUCCUGGCAAUAUCACAAGAACCAUUACUGAUGAAUGGGGAUAGUGAAAAUCGUCAAUAUCAAAUUUGACCUCCAUUUUGUCAUCAGUAUCUACAUAUUAAAAUUUGAAAAGCUUAGAUUGAAUGGUUCAUGAUUAAAUGCAACAACGUGAAUGGAAACGCCAUUUUACGAUCUUGCAAGAACCAUAACUCCUGAACGGUAAAAGUCAAAAUCGUCAUUAUUGAACUUGACCUCUAU
RNAcentral lists this long non-coding RNA (373 nucleotides) under Mytilus galloprovincialis (Mediterranean mussel). Lineage: Eukaryota; Metazoa; Mollusca; Bivalvia; Mytilida; Mytilidae. The record is from RNAcentral.